This 477-nucleotide ribosomal RNA is filed under the name Automate cf. dolichognatha TWH-2014. RNAcentral's name for it is "partial 16S ribosomal RNA". It matches the Rfam family "Bacterial large subunit ribosomal RNA", at positions 1845 to 2588 of the family's 2925-position model. Lineage: Eukaryota; Metazoa; Arthropoda; Malacostraca; Decapoda; Alpheidae. The record is from RNAcentral.
AUGAGGUCUGGCCUGCCCGCUGGGUUUCUGAAGGGCCGCAGUAAUUUGACUGUGCAAAGGUAGCAUGAUCAGUAGUCUCUUAAUUGGGGGCUUGUAUGAAUGGUUGGACGAAAGGAAAGCUGUUUCGAGGAUUAAGAUUGAAUUUGACUUUUGUGUGAAAAGGCGUGAAUGUGUUAAGGGGACGAUAAGACCCUAUAAAACUUGAUAGCGUAGCUGUUGCUGGUGAAUUUUGUUUAAAUUUGGUUGCGGUCAUUGUUAUUGUGUUGGGGCGAUAGGGAUAUAAUGGAGCUGUCUUUGAGAUAAAAUAAUUGUGAUUAGAGUUUGAUCCUUUAGUGGGGAUUUGAAGAUUAAGUUACUUUAGGGAUAACAGCGUGAUCUCUUCUGAGAGUUCGUAUCGACGAAGUGGAUUGCGACCUCGAUGUUGAAUUAAAAUUUUCUUGGGGUGCAGGAGUCCCGGGGAUAGGUCUGUUCGACCUU